AGACGUAUCUGAUCCUUCUCUUCAGGUAUUUAACAGAUGUUACCUUAGUUCAUUAUUGCACAAUAAAUUUGCAGUUCCAGUUGUUUACAAUCAUGUGGGAACAUGUCGAAAAUCGUAUUGUGAUAGUACGUGAAAAUAUGGCACGGAUAAUGGUGAUAUCUAUCACACUUUGCAACCACUUGAAAUCACCCGCAUUUUUAUGUAUCGUGCUGGUUAGAGGCUAUGGUUUGUUCUACUCGUCCCCCGUAUAUUGAGUCGCUCAAGUACGCCCUCACCCGUGCAGUGAACAACUCUCCUAUGGAAGCAGUGCGUGCUGCAAUCGAUAAAUGAUCAGAUCGUCUCAACCCAAUGUCCUGGAAAAAAGGUAAUGAAGAUGGUCGAGUUUCGAGCGACAUAGCAUGCGCUGCUAUAACUAUUCCGCAAAUAGUGACGUCACUCGUUGUGUUUAUCUUUGAUUGCCCACGCAUCCAUGGGCCUUAUUCCCGUAUCCACGUACACUUACGUUCCCACUACGCUUACAUCUCACUUCACUUUGUUGUACUUAUUCCCGUUUCGUGAAGUGUAAAAAUGAACUUCGUGUAUUAAGUGGAGUGGAUACCAAAAUGACCGUGUGUUCAUUUCCAAUGUCGUUUCUAAGAGAAACGUCAGUUGUAUUUUGUUUUGUUUAUUCUCGAGUUGUGUCGAUACACCCAGAAAAUGGAUUACUAAAAAAAAGCUUCCAAAUCUUUUGUAAUUCAAACAUUAGUAGAAUGUACAUAUUUUCUGUAAAUAUUACCAAUCGUUUGUAAAAUGAAUGUCAUAUGCAAUACACAUCCCUACCAACGAUUGAUUCAUUUUACUUCGCGGUGUUAGUAACUUUUACGAUUGUCAUUACUGGCAACCGCGAAGAAAAUGUAAAUAUAACAUUAUUAGUCUAAUUACCGAGUUGAUAAUUGAGUUGAACUCCGAUAUUGAUUUCUUCAUAGAAGAUGGUCGUAUUAACCCGAAUUCGGGACAGCAAUGAUUCGUCCUCGUCUGUUGCGGGAGAAUUUGAAGACAUUACUUCAAUAAUAAGGAAUCUAGGUACUUCGAAACACAAAAACGAACUCUGUAGAGUCCUAGAUUAAUCUUUAUGCUAUUGGAUUUGGUCAAGGACAACGUCAUAAACGCUUUGCAGAUUGUGAUCGGUGGUUCGAUCUAUUGGAUGUUUUCCGGAUUCGUCACGACAGAGGUUCCGUAUCCACUGAGGCUGCGCGUCAAGUCAAUAUUGCAACGGGGCAUAAAGCAGGCCUCACCUAAUGCCGCCAGGGCUUCGUCAGCUUCGUGAUAUUUCCCGAUUGUGUUUGGCUGAGAAGUAAUUACACGCUGGUCCUGGGAGAGGAUAAUGCCGUGGAUCAGACCCAAUCGAUGCAGGAUCAGAUGUCUAUAGUUUAGAUAGUUCAAUGAAUAAUUUAAAAAAGUUAGUUGGUUCAAUAAAUGAACAAAUAUGCAUACAAAAGAUGAAUAAAUUAAAUACAAUAUAUGCAUUAAGGUUGGGUUAACAUAACAUGUUUAGGGUGUAUGUUAAAUCAACGUUGAACCGAAUGCUUUUACUGGGUUAUACUGGCCGAUUUAGCAUUUGUUUACCAUUCUUAUCGCGUAAUAUGUACGAUUCUGGAUCAUGAGAAUAGAAUCAAAUUGGUAGUCAAAAAGAAACCAAUUGAAAUGUCAAUAAUCAGGAAGGAAAAAAGUUUCUUUUCUUAAAAUAAACCACAUAGAGGAAGUAUCGUUAU
Long non-coding RNA from Toxorhynchites rutilus septentrionalis, 1751 nucleotides. RefSeq lists it as uncharacterized. The transcript is spliced from 3 exons. The record is from RefSeq and is a predicted model, not a curated record. Lineage: Eukaryota; Metazoa; Arthropoda; Insecta; Diptera; Culicidae.